RNAcentral lists this microRNA precursor (81 nucleotides) under Dinoponera quadriceps. RNAcentral's name for it is "microRNA dqu-mir-14 precursor". Its record names the gene dqu-mir-14. The stretch from base 6 to 72 matches the Rfam family "mir-14 microRNA precursor family". Lineage: Eukaryota; Metazoa; Arthropoda; Insecta; Hymenoptera; Formicidae. The record is from miRBase by way of RNAcentral.
GGGUCAGUGGGGGUGAGAAACUGGCUUGGCUAUGGCACUAAAACUACAGUCAGUCUUUUUCUCUCUCCUAUCGGCCCCGCG